RNAcentral lists this long non-coding RNA (1302 nucleotides) under Jatropha curcas. RNAcentral describes it as "long non-coding RNA (JCUR_LNC001438)". Lineage: Eukaryota; Viridiplantae; Streptophyta; Magnoliopsida; Malpighiales; Euphorbiaceae. The record is from RNAcentral.
CCCAUGAGCAAUUUGAAUUGAUUAGUGAUCUGAUCGACACACAUGAGUUGGCACUCCAAUAUAAUCAAGAUGUAGUCUUAAACCAUCCUGUUAUCACAUCCAAUAAUCCUCUAGUUUAUAUCCUUAGUCUUCAAACACUAACAUGUAUUCUCUUCAUUAAUUUGUUAAAACUAUCCCAAAUUCACCUUUUCCUUCUUAUACCAAGUUUCACUGUUCCAUGCAAAUGGUAAAUUAAAACUCAGCUUGCUUACUAAUGAAUGAAAAUACUCUAAUUACCUUCAUGUUCUACCAAGGACAUAAAUAUAACUUCCCUUCUUUAUCUAAUAAAACAAGCAACUUGCAAAAGUUGCACUAAUUAAUAGAAAUUCCUUAUUUUAAUUGCUUUACGUCAAGAAAUUAAAUUUAUUUACAUUCGUUGUCAUCUCAAGCUAAGUCCCGUGAUCCUUUAUCAACUAUUAUUCCAACUAGAUGCUAUCAAAUUACAGUAGUCAAAAUUCUCUUCUCUCUUUCUCUCCAAUAGAAAGUCUAUCUUUCUUUCUAAAUAUAAGUACUAAAUUCUUUAUGAAAAAUACUCAUCACCAAUUAUUAUACCAAAUCGCACCAAAUCCUUCAACAUUCAGACCUUAUAAAAAUCAUGUAUAUCCAUUCCAUCCAGAAAAUAUUUAUCUCAAUAAAUAUAAGAAAUUCCACUAACCAACAUCAUGUAAAUUUCAUCAAAUUCAUAUACUCAUUCAAUACUCUAAUUAAAUAGAUUCUGAUGUCCUCGAAUCCGAAUCAUUUAGUUCUCUUGUUAAAUUAUUAGCAACUCAUUCUCAAUUCCGCAAGCACACUUAUACACACAUUUAUGCAUUCUUAAAUAUGUAUUCCACAUUCAACACGUAUUAAAUAAAAAAUAGCACACUUUCAUCAACUAACCUCAACUCAUUAAUCCUAUAUAACUUAUCUUCUUACAUACUUAAAUUAUAUAUGAAUAUUAUUUAUUCCAUAAAAGGGUUUUUGUUUAAACCAUCCCCUUAGCAUCAGUAACUAAAUCACAUCUCUAAAGAACAAGGAUACAAAAUUUUACUUAUUAAACAACUUAACUCUAAUCUGGUUGCGAACAACGCUGAAGAGGAAAGCAAGGAAGACUAUGUCAAGACAUGACAGGAAUUACUCCGCAGUUACAUCUAGACUUAUGAACUUUUGCUCUGAUACCACCUUUGUCACGACCCGUUUCCGUGGGCCGGACCGGCACUAGGGCCUAGGUAAGCUUAAGGCCCCCGAGGCCCGUAGUAAGCCUAAAUUAUUCAAUCUGUCUACAUG